AUGAAAUCUAUAUUCGAUGAAACAUAACACUUAAAAAUUGAUUUCAACCAUAUUAACAUAUGAGAAUGAGGUAAACUUUGUUUUUGAAACUCAAUCGUACAAACAUCUGUUUCAAAAAAAAAAACAAAAUUAAAGACAACAUGCAAAAAAACCAAAAAAUGUAAAAAGGUUAGUUCAUUGAAAAAGAAAAGGAGAAAGUAAAAUAAAAAGAUAAUAAGUUUUUGGAACUCACUUGCUUCAACUUCUCCAAAAGGUUGUCAAGAUUUGAUAAAAUGUAGCAUGUCAUCAAAUUUCAUUUUAAAUAUUCUAAAAAUUAUAUCAGGCAUAUCCUCAGGUUUAAAUUCCUUUUUUUUUCUUUUUCAAAUUCUCUUAUAAUUUCAGGCCAUUUCACAUUAUAGGUAAAUAAAAUCAGGAUGUCCAUAUUCUUUACAAAUAGUCAUAGAAUCUUGAUAGUUGUUAAUCAUGUAUCUAGGACUUGCUGUAUAAGAAGCAGGCAAUACAAUUUUUUGGCAUUAUUGUCACCCCUUGAUGUAAAUUCCUUUGCAAACUUCGCUUCUCAAAUUUUUCUGAUUUUGUCUAAUGUAAUCCAAUCUAUCUUCUUCAAGUGUUGCACAGAGUCUACCAAAUACUGUUGAAAAAGUCAACCACCUUUUAACAAUGUAGUUAGAGAUGGUUCUCACUCUUGAAUUUGAUAAGCUAUAUAGACUCUUAUAGGUAUUCUUUGUCUUUUUGUUUUUGGACCUUUAUGAUUUUCAUUCCAUUUUAAAUCCAGUUUAUACCCAACUUCACCAUAUGAAAAAAGAUAGAAUACUGAAAUGCCAUAAACUUUGGAUUCAAUUUUGUAAUAGGUUUUAACCUUUCACUUCUAGAGUCUACAAUGAUAUCUAUGUUAGAAUUAGAGAGGCCUAUAUCACUAACAAUUAAACCACCCAUUUCAUCACUUGUUGGUUGGUCAUAUUGUUUGCUAUCAUUUGGCUGCCUUCCUAAUAAUGUCAACUUAUAAUAAUGUCAACUUAUAAGAAAUGAGACCAUCAGUUUCAAAUUUAUCUCUUGCCAUCUGAAAAAGUAUGACCAACUUAUUUGAUUCAUCAAACAUUUUAAUCAAACCUUCUACAAUUUUUGAAUCAAGCUUUACAUUCUUUCCAUCACAAUCAAAAGCAUUUACACGAUUUUGCACUUCAUUAUAUGUAUCAUAAAUAUAGAACUGAGCAAAUUUUGAAGAUUCAUUAUCAGCAUGGAGAAGAGAUCCCAUUAAAUGACAAACUUGACCACUAAUUUUAAAAAUAUAAGGGCUUGAUCCAUCAUUGAUUGAGUGAUCAACUUUUGCUCGCAUUGAGCUAAAUAAAAACAUAGAGUUGUACGCCCUGAUAUUUUCACGAAAUGUUAAACUUUUUUUACUUCUAGUUGGAUCAAGUAAACGGUCCAAAAAAACUGGUGUUGGUUUUGGAGUUGAAAACUUAAUUUUUCCUUGCUCUUGUCAACCAAGAUAUAAUCUUUUGGAACCCCUACAAAAAAUAAACGGAUGAAAAAUAAAUAAAUAUAAUAUGGCAAUUAGUAUGUAAUAAACUAAAUGUGAAACUUAAAACCCACCAUAAAAAAAAUAGAACCAAAUUGACAACGCACCGUUUCUAUUUUUUUGAAAAUACGCUUGACCUUUGCUCAUAAAGCUCUGAUCAUCACAAUCAAAAGGUUGAUGAAUUCUGUUUUGAGCACUAUUUGACAAAUCAACAAUUUUUUUCCCUUUUUGAUUAGAAGUGUAUUUUUUUAACUGCAGUUGUAUUUAUUCGUUGAUCAUUGUGAAGACAUUGGGUAACACUAUUUUGUAGAAUAUGUGCUUGCAGAACAGUGACAAUUUUGCUUAAUGUACUGUGCUCAUAAUUUUGGAUAUAACUGGAUCUACAAGCCAUUUUUGGUUGAUGAUUAUAUUCAAACAUUGUAUCAUGCAUUAUCAGUGAUGGUUUGUUUCGUUUGAUACCUUUAUUUGUUUCAUCAUUUAGGCAUUUAAGCCUUUUAAUUUCUGCACACCAAUAUAAAGAAAGCUCUAUUUAAGCAUUUAAGCAUUUAAAUUUUUGUAACAAAUUUAAUUAAAAAAUUCAUAAAUUAAUUUAACAACUGAUAAAAAUGUGUAUCUUCUUUGCUUUCAUCCUUUUAUCAACUAAAGAAAUCAUGAAUUCAUCAAAUAGAAAACAAAUACGAUAAUUGAAAUUGAUACCAAAACAGUAAUCAUAUAAAAAUGGUAUGAAUCCAAAAUUGCAUCUAUGGAUGCAAAUUUCCACCGUCUUCUUCUUGGACAAAAUUGCACCUACAAAACAAUUAACAUCUUUGGUCAAGGCCAAGAACCUCACCGCGCCCACAAUGAAUGGGGGGAGCUUUGGCCGAAGAACCUCCGAUGCCAAAGUUAGAAUUUAGAAAGAAAAAGUGUUUAGAGGAUUUUUGGGAGUUUUGCAAGAGUAUCAACUUAGCUUUUUAGAAGAAAUAGGGUCAUAUAUAUAGGGAAUGAGGUGUUAUUUGGUGAUUCAAUUAGCAAUUAAUAUAUUAAUUAGGUAUAAAUAUAUUAAUUGGCUAAUUAUCAUAAUAAAAGACAUGUUUUGGGAGUUUUUUGAAGGUUAUGGAAUGAGAAUGGAUG
This 2626-nucleotide long non-coding RNA is filed under the name Malus domestica (apple). Its description in RNAcentral is "long non-coding RNA (MDOM_LNC017687)". The record is from RNAcentral. Lineage: Eukaryota; Viridiplantae; Streptophyta; Magnoliopsida; Rosales; Rosaceae.